AUUACAGGUGUUGCAUGGCUGUCGUCAGCUCGUGUCGUGAGAUGUUCGGUUAAGUCCGCUAACGGGCGCAACCUCGCUGUGUGUUAUAUGUGUCACACAGGACUGCUGGUAUUAAGCCGGAGGAAGGUGGGACGACGUCAAGUCAGCAUGACCUUUAUAUCCAGGGCUACACACACGCUACAAUGGUCAGUACAAUGGGUUGCCAAGCCGCGAGGCGGAGCCAAUCCUAAAAAGCUGGCCUCAGUUCAGAUUGCAGUCUGAAACUCGACUGCAUGAAGUCGGAGUUGCUAGUAAACGCAGGUCAGCUAUACUGCGUUGAAUACGUUCCCGGGGCUU
Molecule: ribosomal RNA, 336 nt
Filed under: uncultured Anaerolineaceae bacterium
Lineage: Bacteria; Bacillati; Chloroflexota; Anaerolineae; Anaerolineales; Anaerolineaceae
Description: bacterial SSU rRNA
Rfam family: Bacterial small subunit ribosomal RNA
Source: RNAcentral